This 1390-nucleotide ribosomal RNA is filed under the name Lactiplantibacillus plantarum. Its description in RNAcentral is "bacterial SSU rRNA". It matches the Rfam family "Bacterial small subunit ribosomal RNA", at positions 64 to 1438 of the family's 1533-position model. Lineage: Bacteria; Bacillati; Bacillota; Bacilli; Lactobacillales; Lactobacillaceae. The record is from RNAcentral.
GGUGCUUGCAUCAUGAUUUACAUUUGAGUGAGUGGCGAACUGGUGAGUAACACGUGGGAAACCUGCCCAGAAGCGGGGGAUAACACCUGGAAACAGAUGCUAAUACCGCAUAACAACUUGGACCGCAUGGUCCGAGUUUGAAAGAUGGCUUCGGCUAUCACUUUUGGAUGGUCCCGCGGCGUAUUAGCUAGAUGGUGGGGUAACGGCUCACCAUGGCAAUGAUACGUAGCCGACCUGAGAGGGUAAUCGGCCACAUUGGGACUGAGACACGGCCCAAACUCCUACGGGAGGCAGCAGUAGGGAAUCUUCCACAAUGGACGAAAGUCUGAUGGAGCAACGCCGCGUGAGGUGAAGAAGGGUUUCGGCUCGUAAAACUCUGUUGUUAAAGAAGAACAUAUCUGAGAGUAACUGUUCAGGUAUUGACGGUAUUUAACCAGAAAGCCACGGCUAACUACGUGCCAGCAGCCGCGGUAAUACGUAGGUGGCAAGCGUUGUCCGGAUUUAUUGGGCGUAAAGCGAGCGCAGGCGGUUUUUUAAGUCUGAUGUGAAAGCCUUCGGCUCAACCGAAGAAGUGCAUCGGAAACUGGGAAACUUGAGUGCAGAAGAGGACAGUGGAACUCCAUGUGUAGCGGUGAAAUGCGUAGAUAUAUGGAAGAACACCAGUGGCGAAGGCGGCUGUCUGGUCUGUAACUGACGCUGAGGCUCGAAAGUAUGGGUAGCAAACAGGAUUAGAUACCCUGGUAGUCCAUACCGUAAACGAUGAAUGCUAAGUGUUGGAGGGUUUCCGCCCUUCAGUGCUGCAGCUAACGCAUUAAGCAUUCCGCCUGGGGAGUACGGCCGCAAGGCUGAAACUCAAAGGAAUUGACGGGGGCCCGCACAAGCGGUGGAGCAUGUGGUUUAAUUCGAAGCUACGCGAAGAACCUUACCAGGUCUUGACAUACUAUGCAAAUCUAAGAGAUUAGACGUUCCCUUCGGGGACAUGGAUACAGGUGGUGCAUGGAUUGUCGUCAGCUCGUGUCGUGAGAUGUUGGGUUAAGUUCCCGCAACGAGCGCAACCCUUAUUAUCAGUUGCCAGCAUUAAGUUGGGCACUCUGGUGAGACUGCCGGUGACAAACCGGAGGAAGGUGGGGAUGACGUCAAAUCAUCAUGCCCCUUAUGACCUGGGCUACACACGUGCUACAAUGGAUGGUACAACGAGUUGCGAACUCGCGAGAGUAAGCUAAUCUCUUAAAGCCAUUCUCAGUUCGGAUUGUAGGCUGCAACUCGCCUACAUGAAGUCGGAAUCGCUAGUAAUCGCGGAUCAGCAUGCCGCGGUGAAUACGUUCCCGGGCCUUGUACACACCGCCCGUCACACCAUGAGAGUUUGUAACACCCAAAGUCGGUGGGGUAA